Columba livia (rock pigeon) is the source of this 1291-nucleotide long non-coding RNA. RefSeq lists it as uncharacterized. The transcript is spliced from 3 exons. Lineage: Eukaryota; Metazoa; Chordata; Aves; Columbiformes; Columbidae. The record is from RefSeq and is a predicted model, not a curated record.
UUUCUGAACAUGGGUAAAUUGAGGCUCUGAGACUGUGUGUGAUGCACCAAAUAAAGCAGAGACUCCAGAGAGAAGAACAAAGCAACCUGGAAAACCUACUUCCUCUCUUCAUAUAAUUUUCUUCAAUCUAAAUACAGCUUUCUUCUUUAAAAUUGAGAUAAUGGCACCCAGUUCUGCAGCUCUGUGAUCCGCAGAUGUUUCUCCAAGAAAUAUGAAGAUGAACAAAGAAUGCAUAAAAAGUUGCUCUUAUGGGACAUCUGGGAACAAGAACAGGAGAUACAUUUUCAAAUGAAAAGUGGACUGGAAACCUUAGUUCUUAAGCUGGAAUUUAAUUGGUGCAAUAUUGGAGUUUAAAGAGUAAUAAAGUUUUUGUCCUCAGGUUAUGAGAAGAAAAUUACCCGUAACAUUUUUUUGGAUUAUAAUAUUUCAGCUCUUUCACCAUCUUUUUUCUGGUAUUAUAAUCAUUACUACUCUGAUCAUUCUCUGUGUUUCGUAUCUUCACCUCCAAGCAUUUUGAAUGGUGCUGAGAACCUCAGUGAACUUUUCAGAUGUGAGGCAGAGAUCAGCCACUGAUCAAAAUGCACUUGAACUGCAGAGUCUUCGGAGCCAUUUUCAGAAAGGCAAAAUGUGUCGCUCCUUGGAGAUGAGAUAAAUGGCAAAACCAGCACAGAUCACUCACUCUCACCUCCUAAUUGAAAAGCUGGCUGCUGAUCAAGAGCUGGCAGUGACCAGCUCAAGCCAUCAGGAUGCCAAUAUAUGUUUCGACCUUGUUUCUCCACCUCAGAAAGGGUCAAUCACAAAUUAAUGUUAUAUUAGUGAAAGCAAGGACUUCUAUUGAAGGGGGAAAUCUAUAAAAAUAGCAUCCAACGAAAUUAUGAAAAAAGGCUAGAGAGAAAAUUAGCCUAGACUGGCAGUGGAACAGUGUGUUUACUCAGUACAAAUAAGAUAAUCUAGAAUCUUAAUCAUAUCUAAAAAUGAUGAAGCAAAUCAGAUCUAAAACUGGUAUAUGAAAGUUUCAUUUUGGUUUUGUUUGGUUGGUUUUCUGCAGCAUAAGUUGCAAUCACUUUUCUGGUAAAAAUAUCUAUUCUAGUUUGCCACUAAGUAUUAUAUGCACAGGAAUACUAUACGAUGUCUUUUCUCCAAACCGACAAAUGCAAGAAAAAAUUCUCAAAUGGAUUCUAGUUGUAUGGUAAAAUGACACAUUAGGAUGACUCCAAAGUAGAGACACAUUUUUUUUUUUAAAACCUAUUUGAAUAGGUAAAAGCACUGGGAACCACACAAAUGACACAUU